AGUGAACGCUGGCGGCAGGCCUUACACAUGCAAGUCGAACGGUAACGGAGUUUCGGCUUGCGACGAGGGGCGGACGGUGGCGUAAGACAGCGGAACAUGCCCGAACGUGGGUUUUAGCGGGGGGAAAGGUUGGCUAAUACACCAUACGAUCGACGAAGGCAAACGGGUGACCGCAGGGCAUUUCCCGAACUUGGGGGACUGUAUGAGCUGAUGUCGGAUUAGGUAGUUGGGGGGAUAAAGGCCUACCAAGGCGACGAUCCGUAGCUGGUCUGAGAGGAUGAUCAGCCACACUGGGACUGAGACACGGUCCAGACUCCUACGGGAGGCAGCAGUGGGGAAUAUUGGACAAUGGGCGCAAGCCUGAUCCAGCCAUGCCGCGUGCAGGAUGAAGGCCUUCGGGUUGUAAACUGCUUUUGUUCGGGAAGAAAAGCAUUAUUUUAAUACCGCGCGGUUCUGACGGUACCGUAAGAAUAAGCACCGGCUAACUACGUG
Molecule: ribosomal RNA, 492 nt
Filed under: uncultured bacterium
Lineage: Bacteria
Description: partial 16S ribosomal RNA
Rfam family: Bacterial small subunit ribosomal RNA
Source: RNAcentral